RNAcentral lists this long non-coding RNA (3150 nucleotides) under Brassica napus (rape). Its description in RNAcentral is "long non-coding RNA (BNAP_LNC025430)". The record is from RNAcentral. Lineage: Eukaryota; Viridiplantae; Streptophyta; Magnoliopsida; Brassicales; Brassicaceae.
CACUUGUUGCCACUCCUCUGCUUCCUCCUCCUCCACAGCCUCUAAACCUCUCUCUCUCUCUCUCUCUGCUUCGUCUUCUUCUUCUUACCUUCUACGCAGGUUUGUAAUCUGCAAAAUCACCUUUCAAUGGCGGCUUCUUCCUCUUCUUCUUCUCCCUCGUCUCUCCUCUUACCGAACAUCAGUUUCCAUUCCACAACCACUCGUUCCGUUUCAAUCCCCGGAAUCUUCCUGCCUAGAAAUCGCUUGAGACACAGUCACACUCUCCCGCUUCGAAUCAGAGCUUCCAGAGACGAUAAUGUCGCAGUGGAAGAUCGUGAAAACGCAGUGAUCAACGGAAACGGAAGCGUACGUCUGAACGGCAACGGAGCUGCGAGAAAAUCCAUCAACGGAGAUUUAAACGGAAACGUCCCUUUAAACGGCAACGGUAGUUUGGUGAAGUACGUGAACGGAAGCGUAACGGAGGAAGUCUCGAAGAAGAGAGAAGAAGAAAAGAGGCAGAAGAGAGUAGAAGACAUCGGUCAAGAGGAUGCUUGGUUUAAGAAAACUCAACAGAAACAACAAGUCGAGGUAAAUCACCACUUUAAAAAAAAAAAAAAGUUACUUUCUUUUUCACUCAAAAACCGUUUCUUUGUUCUAAUGAUUCCAUUACAUGAACACACAGGUUUCUGUUGCACCUGGUGGUCGAUGGAGUAGGUUCAAGACUUACUCGACCAUACAAAGAACAUUGGAGAUUUGGGGGUUUGUUAUAACGUUUAUCUUCAGGACAUGGUUGAGCGGUCAGAAGUUUUCAUACAAAGGUUGUUACUUUACUUUUAGUAUUUGUUUAUUGUAAAAGAAAAUUCUCAUUUGCUUUUUUUGUAUUUGCAGGGGGAAUGACUGAGGAGAAGAAGGUUUUGAGAAGGAAGGUUUUGGCUAAGUGGUUGAAGGAAAACAUAUUGAGGUUAGGUCCUACGUUCAUUAAAAUUGGGCAGCAGUUCUCUACCAGAGUGGACAUUCUUCCUCAAGAAUACGUUGAUCAAUUGUCAGAACUUCAGGUUUGAUCUCAUAUUGAAUGGCUUGUCUUCUGUGUUGCAUCCAUUUUAAAGUUUUUUUGGUGUCUUAUGUUUGCAGGAUCAAGUUCCUCCUUUCUCUUCUGCUACGGCUUUAUCAAUUGUUGAAGAGGAGCUUGGAGCAUCUGUUGAUGACAUUUUCGACCGUUUUGAUUAUGAACCUAUAGCUGCUGCUAGUCUUGGUAAGAGUCCUUUGUGGUAAUCUUCUUAUAAUGAUGCUGUCUUGUCUGCAAGAAAGUGAUAAUUAUAAUAAGUGUUUUGGUCUUGAUAAGUACAGGCCAAGUUCACCGUGCAAGAUUGAAGGGUCAAGAGGUUGUCAUUAAAGUACAGAGACCCGGUCUCAAGGAUCUCUUUGAUAUUGAUCUUAAAAACUUGAGGGUUAGUGUCUCUAGCCAUGCUUGAUAUUGAGUUAUUCGAUGUUGCAAGCGUCCUUGUCUCAUGGUUUGCUUCUGCUGAGUUAUUUGCUUUUUUUGUUAUGAUUUUGUAUAGGUGAUUGCUGAGUAUCUCCAAAAGGUGGAUCCAAAAUCAGAUGGUGCAAAGAGGGAUUGGGUUGCAAUUUAUGAUGAAUGUGCCAGUGUAUUGUACCAGGUAUCGCGAUGUAGUUUUUUUUUUUAGCAUAGAGGCUUAGUUGAAUUUUCUCUACUUGCUUCAGUUUGAAGUGAUCUCUAACUAGUAAGACCAAUGUGCUAUAUUUGUAGGAAAUUGAUUACACAAAGGAAGCAGCUAAUUCGGAACUGUUUGCUAAUAACUUCAAAAACUUAGAAUAUGUAAAGGUUCCAUCCAUCUACUGGGAGUACACCACGCCUCAGGUAAUAUUAUUACCUAUGAGCAUUAUUACUUCGUCAUAUACAAUGCCUUAAAGCUCGAAUGCAAUACCCAGGUCCUGACAAUGGAGUAUGUCCCUGGAAUUAAAAUUAACAAAAUACAAGCCUUAGAUCAGUUAGGUGUCCGUCCUCGAGCUAUAGAAGUCAGAUCACCAAAAACCAUAUCUUGAAAACCAAGAUGAGAAGGGAGUAUCGAUGGUAAGCCAACGACGAGGAAAACAACUUCAAAGACGACUAAACUCUGACCCAAUCCAAAAAGAUGCAGUUCUUAACAUCAGCUGAAAUCUAAGGAAGAAGAGGAGCAUCCAAUAUUGAAUGGAGCAGCCUAAAACGACGCGAGAAACAACCGCACAACUGAGAACUCCUAAACUCGAUCUACAACAAAUACCAGAAAUUUCAAGGUGAAGAAGGUGAUAAAGAACAUGAGCAGGAUGCGAGUCUUUUUCGGUGAUGAUGAGAAACAACGCAUACCAGAAAGGUAAACAAAAUACAUAGAUGUUGAAGGCUCAAUGUCCAAAUAUGGGAAAAAGGCAAAAACAUCUUGAAAGUUAUAAUGUUCAAAAAUAUAAAAAAAAUAAAAGACAAUUUUGACGCUGAAACCGUUAAUCUUAAAAUCAACAAAUGCAUAAAUGCAAAGUUAUUGAAAUUCAAUAUAUUUUUACAUUAUAGAGGCUCACUUCACUACUAACAAAUACUAUACAGACAAACCACAUUAUUGAAAAAACAAAGACAAAAUAUAUUAACAUAUCACUAUUACUACUACAUAACACAAUAAAAACACCAAAUAACGUUAUUAACAAAUAAAAAUAAUCAUAUAAUUACAUUAUCUAAAAAAUCAUAUUUUUAACAACAAUAAAACAAUAUCGGGCGGACACACCGUGGUAAUACAAUGUUUAAAAAAAAAAGGAAGGCUUCUUUGUGGCUGUGAUAACGAGAUGAUGUGUCAUACAACAACCAAUCAAAACACUAGAGCAUCUGCUUCACUCAUCUAAUCUCAUGUCACGUGUCAAUUUCGUAUCCACCCCUUUAUUUGCACUUGUUGCCACUCCUCUGCUUCCUCCUCCUCCACAGCCUCUAAACCUCUCUCUCUCUCUCUCUCUGCUUCGUCUUCUUCUUCUUACCUUCUACGCAGGUUUGUAAUCUGCAAAAUCACCUUUCAAUGGCGGCUUCUUCCUCUUCUUCUUCUCCCUCGUCUCUCCUCUUACCGAACAUCAGUUUCCAUUCCACAACCACUCGUUCCGUUUCAAUCCCCGGAAUCUUCCUGCCUAGAAAUCGCU